RNAcentral lists this ribosomal RNA (509 nucleotides) under uncultured bacterium. RNAcentral describes it as "bacterial SSU rRNA". It matches the Rfam family "Bacterial small subunit ribosomal RNA", at positions 28 to 526 of the family's 1533-position model. The record is from RNAcentral.
GACGAACGCUGGCGGCGUGCCUAAUACAUGCAAGUCGAGCGGGUUUGUCCUUCGGGACAAGCUAGCGGCGGACGGGUGAGUAACACGUAGGCAACCUGCCUUUAAGACUGGGAUAACUAUCGGAAACGAUAGCUAAGACCGGAUAACUGGUUUUCUCGCAUGAGAGAAUUAUGAAACACGGAGCAAUCUGUGGCUUAAAGAUGGGCCUGCGGCGCAUUAGCUAGUUGGUGAGGUAACGGCUCACCAAGGCGACGAUGCGUAGCCGACCUGAGAGGGUGAACGGCCACACUGGGACUGAGACACGGCCCAGACUCCUACGGGAGGCAGCAGUAGGGAAUCUUCCGCAAUGGACGCAAGUCUGACGGAGCAACGCCGCGUGAGUGAUGAAGGUUUUCGGAUCGUAAAGCUCUGUUGCCCUAGACGAACAGCAAGGAGAGUAACUGCUCUUUGUGUGACGGUAUAGGAGAAGAAAGCCCCGGCUAACUACGUGCCAGCAGCCGCAGUAAAAC